GUAUAGGAGUUCUUCAAAAAUCCCUUGCUUGGUUUCCAUCCCUUCAGAAGAGAUUUGAAUGCAACUCAUCCAGCCUUGCUGUUGCACAAGACUAUGUACCAGGUGCUCAUUACUUGCCUUUAGUCACAGCCCUUCUUGUCAGGGAGAAGACAUGAGGUAAAGGAUGAAUAGAACAUCAGAAGAUAAUUCUGUUUCCUUCAUAUUUUAUGAUAUAAAAAGAAUUGCUAUUUACACUUUAGAGGUGAUGAAAUAUUUUAUCUGAUGGAGCUCUACAGGGAAGAUUCUUGUUGUUCAAAAGGUCCGCUUUGCUUUCAAGGACAUCAAGAACAGAUAUUGCUAUUAAGUAUAUCAUAUUUGGCAUACCUGAAAUACACAUUACUCAUUUGUAUCCACUGUAUUUUUUCCUAAAUAAACACUGCAGGAUUUAUAUAGCACUAUAGCUCUUUGUUUGCAAAUAUGUUUGUAAAUUCUUAACCAAUCUGCUAUAAAGAAAAUCCAUUAAAAUAAGUGGUUUGCAUUGCACCACAGACUUGCCCAGUGCUGCAUGGAAAGCCUGUAUUCUGAGGGUUAGUAUGGAAGAGGAAAUCUCCAACAGUUUAAUGUUUCUUAUUCAUGUUUAGUUCUGUGGAGAGAUGAGCUAGUUGUCUGUUAGCUGAUGUGGAGCAACUUUGGUACACUUCUAAUAUUGUUUCAGGAUCAUGGGCUUAAAAGUUACUUGAAUGGUUGAAACCACAAUGAGCAGUUAAUGUCAGAGAAUUAAUGUGAGUGGGCCAUUGAUUCUGAACAUGUAUUAGCAGCUUAAGGAGGAUUUAAAUGUCACUGUGUUUUUUCACAGCAGUUACAAAUGUGUUCAGCUUGCUUAUCAGACCUGUGAAACUGUUUCUUCAGAUUUUUUCAGAAUGUAGAAAUCUAAAAGACAACUGUCUUGGUCUUGCUCUCCAACUUAGCUAAAACUUUCCAAGAUCUCUCAGUGUGGACCAAGAUCUAAGCUGUUUGCUCAUUUUACUUGAAAAGACUUCAUUUCCUGAUAAGUGUUUAAGAUGCUGUCUGGUCUCCUUCUUGGCAGUAUAGGAAAAUUAUUCAGUAGAAUUAAGGUAACACGUGAUUUACUUGCAUGUGUGUGAUAUUAUAAAAUUUAACCAAGGGGAGCAGCCACUGUGUUUUCCUUGCACAACACAGGAACACAUUUUUCAUAAAAAGUGUAUCUCAAGUUUCACAAAUCAGUUACAUAGCACAGAUAUUGUUACUCUAGCAUUUUAUUUAGAUAUUUUGUCACUGGUAUUUGGAAUAGACUUAGAUUUUAAAAUAGUUCCUUUUAUUGUUAGAGUUGUUGUUAUAGAAACAUGGAGGGUAUCACCCUGAGAUUUAAAAUUCAUCAUGUCAAUAAUUGAGUCAAACCUGAAAGAACUCAAAAUAUAAAUUGGAAAGAAAAGACUGAACAGAUUUGUUAUGUAAGUUCACACAGGAUUUGGCUCUUAACCAUGAGUUUAUUAAGAACAUAGGAGGAAAUAAAGUAAUGACUGUUCAAAUCUCCAGAUGCCACAAAACUUAAAUACUAAGGAGCCACUUAAUCAGAGCAAGAUUAAUUGCUUGCUUAGGAGCUGUAAGCACUUUGCAUUUCACUCUGGCCUAAAGCAGACCUGUGUUUUUAGGAGGAUAGCGGUUUGAGAACAUACUUAGCAAGUUGAAAUAUUUGUGAUAGGAAAUGCUGACUUUGAAUGGUUUCUGGAGAUGAUGUGCAUUCUCAACUGAGCAUGAAAUUUCAGCGUGCCUUGUGGCCAAAAGGACCAUGGAGAUCCUGAGGUUAGAAAUGGGAAUACUGCCAGGGAAGAAAUACUGCUGUCUGUAUUUAGCUUUGGUGUAAGCUUUUGGAAGAAUAUUAUGCUCAAUUUCAGUAGUCACGAUUUUCAGUAAUGCUGGGAAGCUGGACAGAAAAGUCAUGAGAGCAAUAGAAGAGAGACUCAAAACCCAGAAUCUGAUUAGUUUAUGAAAGAAGAAACAGCCUAGAUGAACCAUCUUUGGAGAAAAUAAAGAGCUAAUCCACCUAGCAGAGGAAGAGUGAUCCAGCAAGUCUAAGCAAAAGGACAUGUUACAAAAAGAGAUAAAAGUACGUAGCAGAACAGUAAAGGCAUCCCUAGUCUGGACAUAUUAGACAAUUUCCUGAAAAAAUGUGAUUUGAUAGAAAGAGGACUAAUUCAGACAAGUCAGACCCAUGUUACAAAAGAGGUCAAACCAAACAAUCACAAGUUGUGUUUGGCUGCCCCAGGAGUAACUUGCCUUUAACAAAAGCAUGAACAGCAUUUCACAGAGAUUUCAGAGAUAGAGAUUAUGAACUAAUUUCAGUUCUGCUGUGGUCUGAUCAGUACACAGAGCAAAAUAGGCUACUGGAUAUGUUUAGCCUUGUUCUUUCUGUCUCUAGAGAAUUGCAAAUGGGCUACUAAUGCAUAUCCUGACUUGACUCAUGGCUAUUAGGAUAUGGCUCAUUAGUUUUAAAUUUCAUUAUACAAUACGCCUUGUGAUGGUUUGGGCUAUAUAUACUUGCAUUAUGAAAAUGAGGUGAACAGCACAGGAGGAAAGUGUCUGGGUAAAUGUCAGCUCUAUUGAAUGUAGCUAAUUAUUGUUUAUUUUCUCAAGCUUUUAAAAGUUGGAGAUCUUUUGAAAUUUAUUAGAUGCUUUUGGGCCCCUUUUUUCUCAGCUUUUACAAGCAACCUGCAAUCCAAUGGCCAUUUAAAAUUCAUUUUCAGCUCAUAGUAAGACUUAUAUGACAAAUGGAAAAAUCCAAUGGUUCCUUUUUAUAGUUAAACUUGAACUUUUAUAUACCAAUUAAAGCUUAGAGAAGGUAAAACGUACUAAUAGGUACUGCUCUAGCAACAUAUCUUGAUUUAAAUGUAUUUUUUCAUUACAUUUUAAACUAAUUCACUAAAUUAUAUCUAAAUAGAGCAGGCAUUUAGUGGACUUGUUUUCUAAGUAUAUGUGGCAAUCUGAUUCUAUUUAAAAUGCUAAUAAAUGCAUCCCAUCUCCUAAUGAAACUAGUGCUCUCUGCAUAAUUAAUUAGCAUUUAAUACAGAUGAGCCAUAUUCACAGUAUUUUUCUACCAGAAAGGUUAAUAAAAGAAUUUGAUGCAGUUUUGAAACACCACAAGAGCGGCUUAUUUCUGUGAAACCAUUUUUUUUGCAAGUAAAAUUUUAGUGAAAUUUACCUGGAAUCAUUGUUCCAUACAGCUUUUAUCCACAAGGUGGCAUUCCUAACAGGAGUUUGAUAGACAUGGUCCCUUGCAGUUUUUGAAGAGCUCUGAGAGGCAGUCAUAAGCAUUUGUAAUAUUAUAUGAGCUUUUUAUGAUUUCAUUUUUAUAAAGUGUAAUUAAGAGUAAUUUAAGAAACCUUAUUUAUAAUUAGGUAAAUACUCAUUGAUGUGUGGAGUAUCCAGAAAUACAAAAUGGUUUCAGGUUACAAAACAGCAUAUUCAUUCAUGGCAUUAUAUGCUACUAGACACUUUUCAACUGUAAAGCUGGAAUCAAUUUUGCUUUAGUGAAAGAGUAUAAAAUAAUAAUUUAAAAAUUCUUUAAGUUAAGAGCAUGAAUAAUACCAUGGUCUUGUAUGCAAGCCCCAGUGUUUGGUGUUUUCAACAUGAUGCAGCAUAUGGAGCUUGUAGUGAGUUCUGUGUUAAGGAAGGGCAGAUAACAGUGUUAAUGGGGAAAAGCAGUAUAAAUCAUCUGUAGGGGAUGAUUUUUCAUAGUUUAAUGUUACAAUGACCAAGCAACUUAUUUUCAUAUGCCUGUCAUCCAGGUUGUUAACGGAGCCAGCGAGCAGCUCUGCUUUUCUUCAGGCUUUAUAUCUUUUUCAGCUUCUUGUAGUCUUUGUAUGCUAAAUUCAAAUACCUCGUUACUCUUUUUCUUUAAAUACAAGCAUGAAGGAAAUAGAAUAUAAUCUGCUAAACCAAUACAAGUGCACUAGAUUUUAUAUAGCAGGGAUGUGCAUAUUAUACUUUUCUUCCCCAUGGUUAAGGUCCUGAUCUUACUUUGCUUUUUUGCUGAUUCUGUAAGAUCAGACCUUAGCUAAAUAAUCAUUUAUAUUUCCAUUCUAGCUGGUGCCCUACUUGCAUUUUGGUUUGCAAAAAAAAGGCCUAACCGAAGGUUUGUGCUGAAGCUGUAAUCCAAUGUAAAUUGUGGAAUUUUUUCCAAGUCUAUUUUGAGGCAACAAAAAGGAAUAUGCGUUGUUUGGUUUUUGAUUUAUUGUUUUGUAAUAGCAAAACUUCUGUGGAGUCUUUUUCUAAUGCAUGUGUACAUUUGCUGCUAAUCCCUCUGCUCCCUGUGCUGACCCCCACUGAUGCCUCAGACCUCUGGGUUUGGUUCCUUUCACUUAACACAGCUGAAAGGACAGAGCAGUGGCUGCACCAUGGCUGACACUAAUGACAGUCUUUGCUGAGGUAGUGGGCACUCUUCUGACAUUAAGCAGAUGUUCUUUUCCCUAACAUUCUGUUGUACGUCUAUCAUCUCUCAAAGAUGGCUCUGCAAAACAGAAUAUGAAUUCCUGUUCACUGAAAGGAACUGUCAGUCAGAAAACCCCACUUUCAGAAUGAUCAAGCUGGUAGAACCUACGUGCUGGUUGAAUCUGGCAACAAGGACUCUAGAGGCAAACCUUCUGAGUUGGUAGUAUCUCAUGCUGACUGCCAGUAAAAUUUGAGGGCCUGAACAUCUCCCACAUGCUGCAAAUUUUAAAGAAAUGUGGUGAAAAUUACUAUUUCCAGGAUGUGGAAAUGGCCAGACAAAGAAAGUUAUACAUAAUAAUUAUGAAGUGUUAAUGAGGAAGUAAUUGAUUUAUUGUUGUUGCCUUUCAGCUUAAGCUACACACUGAAUUUUCUUUUUAGUAGUUGGGCAUAGCACUAGGUGAGUAAAUGAGGGCAACAUUCCUCUGAGAAGAGCAAUAAAUCUGUCCCACAGAGGAGGUUUACAUAUAGGAAAAACAAAUGUACAAAAAAAAAACAAAUGGAAAGAAACAUUCUCUGCUGUAGUGGCUGCCACGUGGAAAGGGCUUAUGGUCCAUAGAUAGAACUGUACACAGCUGUGCAAGGGAACAGGUCGGUCAAGGUAAGGGCAGGGUUCAGGGUGCCCAAACUUGCUGUAAUGUGUAGGGUGUGAUGGACAUCACCAGAAGAAAUCAGUAGUCUGGAGCAUCGCUGAUGUUGCUUCUGGGACAUCUCAUGAUGUUGGAUGAGAAGGAUAUGUACUCCAACUCUCAGAAACGGGGGUUGCUGAAUUGUCCUUUUGCCUAAGGGUUAGGCAAAAGGACAAUCUCAGUUAUAUGACAGUGACUGUAAGUUCACAUAACCCAGCACUUGCAGGUAACACUGUCAGAAAAACCAGCUGUACUGACUGCAGACAGAUAAUAGUCCUGAUACUUCAUGAUGGAUCUGCAAAUUGCUUUGAUAGUACAAAGCACGUCAGGGGCUAAUUUGAUGCAGUUUAUUGUUUGCAAGAGGUGGAUUAUAAAUGUUUGGAAUUGCAUCUUAUGUAACUGCUGCUGGAUAAGCAUACGUAAAAGUGUGAACUGGGAAAGGAAAAUGUGAUACUGGGAACUGUAACCACAAUAUUAUCACUUCCCAUAUGUAACAAACUCAUGCCUAGGGCAAGGAAGCACAAUUACUGACAGAAGCUGUGUUUGCUCAUGCAGGUGAUUUAUUGUUCUAAGUGAUUUAUCACUCUGGCUAACAUUUUUUGAUGAAAGACUUUUCUGGAAUAAUUGUACUACAAAGGAAAUUUGGAAUUGUUUACCUUCAAUAGAUGACCAGAUCUGCCUAUUAAAAAUGUUACAUUUAUAAAGUACUUUCAUGUGGGUUUUAAACUGGUGGAAGACAAAGGGUCAAGGUUUGCUUCCCCAAUUUAGUCACAUAAUUUCUUUCAGUCUCUCCCUUUCACUUUGUCAGUCUCAGAAAUCUACAACUACACAUGUGAGAAACUUAUCAGAGACUUAAAUAUUUAAUGUACUUCCAAAUUGUAUUAUUUUACUUUAUCUGUUAUCAAAAGCAUAUGCUGGGUUCUCUGAAUUUAUAUUGGGCGCCAAUGAUACACUGAUGAUUUCUGAAAAUGUAAAAACUGUUCACACUUCCUUUACAACAGGAAAAAAGAUGUUACAUUUUCAAACUGUUAAAACUUGCUUUUAUGUCCUGAUUUCAGGAGGUGUGCAGCACCUGAAUUGCCAACACCUUGUUCUUUGUGCUCCUAGGUCACUGAUGUUUGUUGUGUGCAAGGAAUAUCAUGCUUGCUGGAUCAAUGUGAGAGAUCUUAACUGGUGCAUCUCAGAUCAUGUGUUGAAAGAAAUGUGCAUCCCAGUGAAGAAGAAAUCCCUGUGGCUACCACUCUGCUGCAUCAUCACGUCCAGAUGGGAUCUGUUGUCCUUCCUACUCAAAGCCAGUUUGAUGUCACAGAGGGACCACACGACUUCCCUGAGCUCUGCUGUCAGGUUCACGGCUUCUGCAGCCCAGGGCUCAGCUGGCCUUGACCCUGGGCUGGUUUUGUGCAGCUCUGUUGCCUGACCUUGGUUCACUGUCACUGAGGAAGCCGUCACUGAGCUCUGAGAGUCUGUAAACUGAAACUGUGCAAGAUAAGAAAAGUAAAAACAAGCAGAACUGAAUGCGCUGAGCUGGAAAUUGUCUUGGGGACUGGGAACAAAUAAUGACAUGGAAUCUAAAAAUCUAAGGGAGAAAGCAAAGGCUUAGAAAAUGGCACCUCUGCAACUGUGAGGACUUGUACUGAUUUACUGGGGUAUUUUGACAUGAAUGAAAGACAUUUCUUAUUAAA
This is an RNA transcript of Haemorhous mexicanus (house finch), 6796 nucleotides long. It is a transcript of the gene named threonine synthase like 1, with no coding region annotated. The record is from RefSeq and is a predicted model, not a curated record. The transcript is spliced from 3 exons. NCBI's taxonomy places the organism in Eukaryota, Metazoa, Chordata, Aves, Passeriformes, Fringillidae.